Gopherus flavomarginatus (Mexican gopher tortoise) is the source of this 899-nucleotide long non-coding RNA. RefSeq lists it as uncharacterized. The record is from RefSeq and is a predicted model, not a curated record. Lineage: Eukaryota; Metazoa; Chordata; Testudines; Testudinidae. The transcript has 4 exons.
UCGAUUCCGGAACUCCAUCAACCCCAACGGAGUUGCGGAAUCGACAGGGAGAGCCGCGAACAUCGAUCCCGCGCGGUGAGGACAGGUUCUCAGAGUUCUGGCACUAAGGUUGGAACAGGAGGGACAAGAGUAGCUGAGCCCUGUCUCUGCAGAACAAGAGAAAAUGAAAGGCAGCUUACCUGGCAGGAGUCUUUGCCACCUUCCAGGAAUCCCACGCAGAUCAUGUUUGUAGUGAUUUGUCCUGGACAAUGACUGGGACAAGGGCACCAUCCAAAAACUAGGAAAAUUGGGUUUGAAGAUUGGACCUCUGGAAUUUCAGCAAGAAGUCUGAAUGGCUCAAAUAGUAGGUGGUCGCUGAAGGAGAGAGGGCAAGGAAAAAGAGAAGAGCUGAUAGUCCUGCAAGAGGAGGGGAGGAGUCAAUGGAGGCAACGCUAAAUAUAAGCCCCAGGCGGAUUGCAAGGGGGAAUAGGAAUUGAGAGGACUUGCAGCCGGUGGGUGCGGGAGAUAGACCGGAGAAGCGCACUGUCACCAGGAAAAGGCAGGUCUACGUGAUUGGGGACUCCUUACUGAGAAGAAUAGAUAGGCCUGUGACUAGAGCUGAUCGGGAGAACAGAAGGGUGUGCUGUAUGCCGGGUGCUAAGAUACAGGAUGUGGACCUGAGGCUGAAAAGGAUACUAGAGGGAGCGGGGAAGAAUUCGUUGAUUGUCCUUCAUGUGGGAACGAAUGAUACGGCUAGAUACUCUCUGGAAUGUAUCAAGGGAGACUAUGCCAGACUGGGGAAGACGCUUAAGGAAAUCGAGGCUCAGGUGAUCUUCAGUGGGAUUCUGCCGGUUCCUAGAGAAGGGUGACAAAAGUGUGACAAGAUUAUGGCGAUCAACAGAUGGCUCAGGCAGUGGUGC